This 446-nucleotide ribosomal RNA is filed under the name uncultured bacterium. RNAcentral describes it as "partial 16S ribosomal RNA". It matches the Rfam family "Bacterial small subunit ribosomal RNA", at positions 330 to 792 of the family's 1533-position model. The record is from RNAcentral.
UCCAGACUCCUACGGGAGGCAGCAGUGGGGGAUAUUGCACAAUGGGGGGAACCCUGAUGCAGCGACGCCGCGUGGGUGAAGGAGCGUUUCGGCGCGUAAAGCCCUAUCGGCAGGGAAGAAGGAGGACGGUACCUGACUAAGAAGCCCCGGCUAACUACGUGCCAGCAGCCGCGGUAAUACGUAGGGAGCAAGCGUUAUCCGGAUUUACUGGGUGUAAAGGGGGCGCAGACGGCGAUGCAAGCCAGGAGUGAAAGCCCGGGGCCCAACCCCGGGACUGCUCUUGGAACUGCGUGGCUGGAGUGCAGGAGGGGCAGGCGGAAUUCCUGGGGUAGCGGUGAAAUGCGUAGAUAUCAGGAGGAACACCGGUGGCGAAGGCGGCCUGCUGGACUGCAACUGACGUUGAGGCUCGAAAGCGUGGGGAGCAAACAGGAUUAGAUACCCCGGUA